GGUACGGUUGCCAAGUGGAAAGGCGGAGGUCUGCAAAACCUCCAUGCGUGGGUUCGAUUCCCACCCGUACCU
This 72-nucleotide transfer RNA is filed under the name Candidatus Magasanikiibacteriota bacterium. RNAcentral describes it as "tRNA-Cys". It matches the Rfam family "tRNA". From Rfam's summary of the family: Transfer RNA (tRNA) molecules are approximately 80 nucleotides in length. Their secondary structure includes four short double-helical elements and three loops (D, anti-codon, and T loops). Further hydrogen bonds mediate the characteristic L-shaped molecular structure. tRNAs have two regions of fundamental functional importance: the anti-codon, which is responsible for specific mRNA codon recognition, and the 3' end, to which the tRNAs corresponding amino acid is attached (by aminoacyl-tRNA synthetases). tRNAs cope with the degeneracy of the genetic code in two manners: having more than one tRNA (with a specific anti-codon) for a particular amino acid; and 'wobble' base-pairing, i.e. permitting non-standard base-pairing at the 3rd anti-codon position. Lineage: Bacteria; Candidatus Magasanikiibacteriota. The record is from RNAcentral.